CUAGAUCUGGCACUGGCCAACAUCAUAAACCUGGACGAGAAGAACCAGGUUCUGACGGCAGAGGUCUGGUUAAGACUGAAAUGGACUGACGAGUUUCUGACCUGGAAUGUGAGUGAGUACGGUGGGAUAGAG
This is a long non-coding RNA of Branchiostoma belcheri (Belcher's lancelet), 132 nucleotides long. RefSeq lists it as uncharacterized. Lineage: Eukaryota; Metazoa; Chordata; Leptocardii; Amphioxiformes; Branchiostomatidae. The record is from RefSeq and is a predicted model, not a curated record. The transcript is spliced from 3 exons.